Molecule: ribosomal RNA, 497 nt
Filed under: uncultured bacterium
Lineage: Bacteria
Description: partial 16S ribosomal RNA
Rfam family: Bacterial small subunit ribosomal RNA
Source: RNAcentral
GAUGAACGCUGGCGGCGUGCCUAAUACAUGCAAGUCGAGCGAACAGACGAGGAGCUUGCUCCUCUGACGUUAGCGGCGGACGGGUUAGUAACACGUGGAUAACCUACCUAUAAGACUGGGAUAACUUCGGGAAACCGGAGCUAAUACCGGAUAACAUGUUGAACCGCAUGGUUCAACAGUGAAAGACGGUCUUGCUGUCACUUAUAGAUGGAUCCGCGCCGCAUUAGCUAGUUGGUAAGGUAACGGCUUACCAAGGCAACGAUGCGUAGCCGACCUGAGAGGGUGAUAGGCCACACUGGAACUGAGACACGGUACAGACGCCUACGGGAGGCAGCAGUAGGGAAUCUUCCGCAAUGGGCGAAAGCCUGACGGAGCAACGCCGCGUGAGUGAAGAAGGUCUUCGGAUCGUAAAACUCUGUUAUUAGGGAAGAACAAAUGUGUAAGUAACUAUGCACGUCUUGACGGUACCUAAUCAGAAAGCCACGGCUAACUACGUG